UACGAAGGGGGCUAGCGUUACUCGGAUUGACUGGGCGUAAAGGGCGCGUAGGCGGUUCGUACAGUCAGACGUGAAAUUCCUGGGCUCAACCUGGGGGCUGCGUUUGAUACGUGCGGACUUGAGUUCGGAAGAGGGUCGUGGAAUUCCCAGUGUAGAGGUGAAAUUCGUAGAUAUUGGGAAGAACACCGGUGGCGAAGGCGGCGACCUGGUCCGAUACUGACGCUGAGGCGCGAAAGCGUGGGGAGCAAACAGG
This 253-nucleotide ribosomal RNA is filed under the name uncultured bacterium. Its description in RNAcentral is "partial 16S ribosomal RNA". It matches the Rfam family "Bacterial small subunit ribosomal RNA", at positions 524 to 776 of the family's 1533-position model. The record is from RNAcentral.